RNAcentral lists this ribosomal RNA (328 nucleotides) under uncultured eukaryote. Its description in RNAcentral is "partial 18S ribosomal RNA". It matches the Rfam family "Eukaryotic small subunit ribosomal RNA", at positions 1470 to 1796 of the family's 1831-position model. The record is from RNAcentral.
CCCUUAGAUGUUCUGGGCCGCACGCGCGCUACACUGAUGCAUUCAACGAGUUUCUUCCUGGUCCGAGAGGAAUGGGUAACCUUUUGAAAGUGCAUCGUGAUAGGGAUAGACUAUUGCAAUUAUUGGUCUUCAACGAGGAAUUCCUAGUAGACGUAGUUCAUCAGACUGCAUCGAUUACGUCCCUGCCCUUUGUACACACCGCCCGUCGCACCUACCGAUUGAAUGACUCGGUGAAAAAUUGGGACCGUGAGUCUGUUUGCUUCAUUGCGAGUGGAUUGAUGGGAACUUUUUUAAACCUCGCCAUUUAGAGGAAGGUGAAGUCGUAACA